CCUUCUAUGAUGAUUUUAUCAAAAUGACUUUCGUUCUUCUGAGUGUGCUGAAGCCACAUUUUAGGUACUGAGAAGG
Molecule: small nucleolar RNA, 76 nt
Organism: Ailuropoda melanoleuca (giant panda)
Lineage: Eukaryota; Metazoa; Chordata; Mammalia; Carnivora; Ursidae
Gene: SNORD59A
Product: small nucleolar RNA, C/D box 59A
Source: Ensembl